This 13076-nucleotide long non-coding RNA is filed under the name Vitis vinifera (wine grape). RNAcentral describes it as "long non-coding RNA (VVIN_LNC003280)". The record is from RNAcentral. Lineage: Eukaryota; Viridiplantae; Streptophyta; Magnoliopsida; Vitales; Vitaceae.
GAAGGGUAAACUCGCACCUGUUCUACCCAGAAGAGUGGCUCAAGUUCACAUUCAGAAUUUAUUUGUUGAAAGAGUAUCUCCACUUUAUCACAAUCGAGCACUUCCAAUUCUUUCAGAAGUGGCCAGCUUGAACUAAACCUUCUAGAGCAAAAUCUUUUCAGUUGGUGUAAACCGGAGAGUGUGAGAGAGGUAAGGUUAGGGAAUAAGAGUAAAGGUGCUGCUUCAUCUUCAUUUUCAUUGGCAACAAUUGCCUCCACUCCACUCUCCGAUAUAUAUAGGUCCUCAAGAUGCACAAGAGCACUCGCCACAGAAACCGGAAAAAGGUUUAGCAGUUUGUUGCAUCCCCUUACUUGCAAUUUCCUUAAUUUGGAAAAUGAAUUUGCUGGAAGUUGGUCAGGCCACAAUGCUCUUAUAUUAUCUAGUCCGCGUACAGACAAGGACUCCAACCCUGGGAGUGCAACCUCUGCAAUUGAUGAUCCCUUUAGUUAAUAAUAUAUACAUAUACAUUCCUAAUAAUUAGACACAUGUAAAUAGAAAAUAAGAGGUUAAAGGAGAAUAUAUCAGUAUAACAAAGCACAAAAUUUAAACUAGAUUCAAGAAGAUCAAGAAAGAGAAAAGAAAAGAAAAAGCCUCCAGAUUUUGAAGAUACAAUGAAACUUAAAAAAAAAAAAAAAAACCUUCAAAUUUUCCUUUCGAAAUGAGCUAAUAAGAGGAUUUUUUUUUUCUUUUUUCUUUGCAUCUCUUUCAAAUUUGAUUAACUUCUAUGGAAAACGUAUUUUAACUAGUUAUGGAAAACGGAUAUUUUUUUUUUAACUUUUAUAUAAGAUACAAGUAAUACUUUAAAAAAAUUGUGAUAUCUAAAUAAUUUUUUGAAAAAUUAUUUUGAAAGAAAUAAGGUAAAUCUAUACUUUUUGUAUAAGAUGUUCAACCUUUAUAUACAAAUUUCUAAUUUUUUUUUUUAAAGUGUAUCCAAAUGGACACUAAACUAUCUAGUUUUUAAUUGUUACAACUUUGAAUUGGAUUUUAUGGUAAACUAAUUUACAAGUUAAUGCAUGGAUUCAUCUUAGAUUCCAUCUAUAAAUUUUUUUAAUUAUCUAAUAUAAGACAUUAUAUUAAUGGGUUGAAUUAAUAAUGUAAUUAUAAUUUAUUUGGCAACUUUCUUCCUUCAAAUAUAUAAAAUGAAAAUAAAUUUUAAAAAAUAAAAAAAAUGAAAAAAAUAAAAAAUAAAAAAAGAUUUUUUUUAUAGUUUUUCUAAGGUGAUUUUGUAGAGUAUUGUUAGUUUAUAGUUUUAACUUUAUUUCAUUUUACUUUUAACUUUAUUUAUUGAGGUAUGUUCUUUUUUGCAACUCUUGUUUAGAUUUUAUAGAGAAUAUAAAUUUUAAGAAAAAAAAUGAAAUUUAAAUAAAAUAAGAAUAAAGAAAGGCAAAAGGUGGAUGAAUUUUCUUAAGGCAAAAGUUUGAUAACUUGGCACUAUCAUGUAAUGGGUGAAAUUUUUAAAUACUCAACAAAGGCUAGUGAAAUUUAAAUUAAAAGCUUGACAUGUACCUUUUCGACCAAAAUCUUUGGAGUUGGUGUAAAGUUUUGAGUAUGAGAGAGGUUAGUAUAGGGAAUAUUAUUGCACAUUAGUUCAAAUAAAACAUCAACAUUUUUUUUUGUUAAAUUCUAAAUGAACACCACUAUAAAUUAAUGCGAUUUUGUAUGCUCAAUUAAAUAAACUCGUUCUUAAGGCAUCACAUGAAGUGUUUAAGUCUAAUUAAUAUUAAUUAAAAAUGAUUAUAUUAAAAAAAAUCCAAAGUAAUUUAUUUUUAUCAUAAGUCAAGUAGGAUAGUUUUAUAAAUAAUUGGUUCUAGUUUCUAGUAUUAUUGUACACAAUCGCUAUGUUUGUUGCACCUCCAAAAAAUCUACUACUUGUAAUUAAUUGUAUAUUAUUCUCCAUAUUCACAUCAGUUUAUGUAGUAUGAUUAAUUUAGCAACAAAAUAUAAGUUUACUUGAAAUCGCUUUAAAUUCCUAUGAUAUUAAAGUUUAAGAUUAAAACAAUGUAACAUUAGCCAAAAAGAUUAAGAUCUAUAAUGUAACAUAUAAAAUUUAGAAAAUUCAAGGAAGGGUAAACUCGCACCUGUUCUACCCAGAAGAGUGGCUCAAGUUCACAUUCAGAAUUUAUUUGUUGAAAGAGUAUCUCCACUUUAUCACAAUCGAGCACUUCCAAUUCUUUCAGAAGUGGCCAGCUUGAACUAAACCUUCUAGAGCAAAAUCUUUUGAGUUGGUGUAAACCGGAGAGUGUGAGAGAGGUAAGGUUAGGGAAUGAGAGUAAAGGUGCUGCUUCAUCUUCAUUUUCAUUGGCAACAAUUGCCUCCACUCCACUCUCCGAUAUAUAAAGGUCCUCAAGUUGCACAAGAGCACUCGCCACAGAAACCGGAAAAAGGUUUAGCAAUUUGUUGCAUCCCCUUCCUUGCAAUUUCCUUAAUUUGGAAAAUGAAUUUGCUGGAAGUUGGUCAGGCCACAAUGCUCUUAUAUUAUCUAGUCCACGUACAGACAAGGACUCCAAGCCUGGGAGUGCAACCUGUGCAAUUGAUGAUCCCUUUAGUUAAUAAUAUAUACAUAUACAUUCCUAAUAAUUAGACACAUGUAAAUAGAAAAUAAGAGGUUAAAGGAGAAUAUAUCAGUAUAACAAAGCACAAAAUUUAAACUAGAUUCAAGAAGAUCAAGAAAGAGAAAAGAAAAGAAAAAGCCUCCAGAUUUUGAAGAUACAAUGAAACUUAAAAAAAAAAAAAAAAAAACUUCCAAAUUUUCCUUUCGAAAUGAGGUAAUAAGAGGAUUUUUUUUUUCUUUUUUCUUUGCCUCUCUUUCAAAUUUGAUUAACUUCUAUGGAAAACGUAUUUUAACUAGUUAUGGAAAACCGAUUUUUUUUUUUUUAACUUUUAUAUAAGAUACAAGUAAUACUUUAAAAAAAUUGUGAUAUCUAAAUAAUUUUUUGAAAAAUUAUUUUUAAAGAAAUAAGGUAAAUCUAUACUUUUUGUACAAGAUGUUCUACCUUUAUAUACAAAUUUCUGAUUUUUUUUUUAAAAGUGUAUCCAAAUGGACACUAAACUAUCUAGUUUUUAAUUGUUACAACUUUGAAUUGGAUUUUAUGGUAAACUAAUUUACAAGUUAAUGCAUGGAUUCAUCUUAGAUUCCAUCUAUAAAUUUUUUUAAUUAUCUAAUAUAAGACAUUAUAUUAAUGAGUUGAAUUAAUAAUGUAAUUAUAAUUUAUUUGGCAACUUUCUUCCUUCAAAUAUAUAAAAUGAAAAUAAAGUUUAAAAAAUAAAAAAAAUGAAAAAAAUAAAAAAUAAAAAAUGAUUUUUUUUAUAGUUUUUCUAAGAUGAUUUUGUAGAGUACUGUUAGUUUAUAGUUUUAACUUUAUUUCAUUUUACUUUUAACUUUAUUUAUUGAGGUAUGUUCUUUUUUGAAACUCUUGUUUAGAUUUUAUAGAGAAUAUAAAUUUUAAGAAAAAAAAUGAAAUUUAAAUAAAAUAAGAAUAAAGAAAGGCAAAAGGUGGAUGAAUUUUUUUAAGGCAAAAGUUUGAUAACUUGGCACUAUCAUGUAAUGGGUGAAAUUUUUAAAUACUCAACAAAGGCUAGUGAAAUUUAAAUUAAAAGCUUGACAUGUACCUUUUCGACCAAAAUCUUUGGAGUUGGUGUAAAGUUUUGAGUAUGAGAGAGGUUAGUCUAGGGAAUAUUAUUGCACAUUAGUUCAAAUAAAACAUCAACAUUUUUUUUUUGUUAAAUUCUAAAUGAACACCGCUAUAAAUUAAUGCGAUUUUGUAUGCUCAAUUAAAUAAACUUGUUCUUAAGGCAUCACAUGAAGUGUUUAAGUCUAAUUAAUAUUAAUUAAAAAUGAUUAUAUUAAAAAAAAUCCAAAGUAAUUUAUUUUUAUCAUAAGUCAAGUAGGAUAGUUUUAUAAAUAAUUGGUUCUAGUUUCUAGUACUAUUGUACACAAUCGCUAUGUUUGUUGCACCUCCAAAAAAUCUACUACUUGUAAUUAAUUGUAUAUUAUUCUCCAUAUUCACAUCAGUUUAUGUAGUAUGAUUAAUUUAGCAACAAAAUAUAAGUUUACUUGAAAUCGCUUUAAAUUCCUAUGAUAUUAAAGUUUAAGAUUAAAACAAUGUAACAUUAGCCAAAAAGAUUAAGAUCUAUAAUGUAACAUAUAAUAUUUAGAAAAUUCAAGGAAGGGUAAACUCGCACCUGUUCUACCCAGAAGAGUGGCUCAAGUUCACAUUCAUAAUUUAUUUGUUGAAAGAGUAUCUCCACUUUAUCACAAUCGAGCACUUCCAAUUCUUUCAGAAGUGGCCAGCUUGAACUAAACCUUCUAGAGAAAAAUCUUUUGAGUUGGUGUAAACCGGAGAGUGUAAGAGAGGUAAGGUUAGGGAAUAAGAGUAAAAGUGCUGCUUCAUCUUCAUUUUCAUUGGCAACAAUUGCCUCCACUCCACUUUCCGAUAUAUAUAGGUCCUCAAGUUGCACAAGAGCACUCGCCACAGAAACCGGAAAAAGGUUUAGCAAUUUGUUGCAUCCCCUUACUUGCAAUUUCCUUAAUUUGGAAAAUGAAUUUGCUGGAAGUUGGUCAGACCACAAUGCUCUUAUAUUAUCUAGUCCGCGUACAGACAAGGACUCCAAACCUGGGAGUGCAACCUGUGCAAUUGAUGAUCCCUUUAGUUAAUAAUAUAUACAUAUACAUUCCUAAUAAUUAGACACAUGUAAAUAGAAAAUAAGAGGUUAAAGGAGAAUAUAUCAGUAUAACAAAGCACAAAAUUUAAACUAGAUUCAAGAAGAUCAAGAAAGAGAAAAGAAAAGAAAAAGCCUCCAGAUUUUGAAGAUACAAUGAAACUUAACAAAAAAAAAAAAAAACCACCAAAUUUUCCUUUCGAAAUGAGGUAAUAAGAGGAUUUUUUUUUUUUCUUUUUUCUUUGCCUCUCUUUCAAAUUUGAUUAACUUCUAUGGAAAACGUAUUUUAACUAGUUAUGGAAAACAUAUUUUUUUUUUAAAAAACUUUUCUAUAAGAUACAAGUAAUACUUUAAAAAAAUUGUGAUAUCUAAAAAAUUUUUUGAAAAAUUAUUUUUAAAGAAAUAAGGUAAAUCUAUACUUUUUGUAUAAGAUGUUCUACCUUUAUAUACAAAUUUCUGAUUUUUUUUUUAAAAGUGUAUCCAAAUGGACACUAAACUAUCUAGUUUUUAAUUGUUACAACUUUGAAUUGGAUUUUAUGGUAAACUAAUUUACAAGUUAAUGCAUGGAUUCAUCUUAGAUUCCAUCUAUAAAUUUUUUUAAUUAUCUAAUAUAAGACAUUAUAUUAAUGGGUUGAAUUAAUAAUGUAAUUAUAAUUUAUUUGGCAAGUUUCUUCCUUCAAAUAUAUAAAAUGAAAAUAAAUUUUAAAAAAUAAAAAAAAUGAAAAAAAUAAAAAAUAAAAAAAGAUUUUUUUUAUAGUUUUUCUAAGAUGAUUUUGUAGAGUACUGUUAGUUUAUAGUUUUAACUUUAUUUCAUUUUACUUUUAACUUUAUUUAUUGAGGUAUGUUCUUUUUUGAAACUCUUGUUUAGAUUUUAUAGAGGAUAUAAAUUUUCAGAAAAAAAAAAUUAAAUUUAAAUAAAAUAGGAAUAAAGAAAGGCAAAAGGUGGAUGAAUUUUUUUAAGGCAAAAGUUUGAUAACUUGGCACUAUCAUGUAAUGGGUGAAAUUUUUAAAUACUCAACAAAGGCUAGUGAAAUUUAAAUUAAAAGCUUGACAUGUACCUUUUCGACCAAAAUCUUUGGAGUUGGUGUAAAGUUUUGAGUAUGAGAGAGGUUAGUCUAGGGAAUAUUAUUGCACAUUAGUUCAAAUAAAACAUCAACAUUUUUUUUUUUGUUAAAUUCUAAAUGAACACCACUAUAAAUUAAUGCGAUUUGUAUGCUCAAUUAAAUAAACUCGUUCUUAAGGCAUCACAUGAAGUGUUUAAGUCUAAUUAAUAUUAAUUAAAAAUGAUUAUUUUAAAAAAAUCCAAAGUAAUUUAUUUUUAUCAUAAGUCAAGUAGGAUAGUUUUAUAAAUAAUUGGUUCUAGUUUCUAGUAUUAUUGUACACAAUCGCUAUGUUUGUUGCACCUCCAAAAAAUCUACUACUUGUAAUUAAUUGUAUAUUAUUCUCCAUAUUCACAUCAGUUUAUGUAGUAUGAUUAAUUUAGCAACAAAAUAUAAGUUUACUUGAAAUCGCUUUAAAUUCCUAUGAUAUUAAAGUUUAAGAUUAAAACAAUGUAACAUUAGCCAAAAAGACUAAGAUCUAUAAUGUAACAUAUAAAAUUUAGAAAAUUCAAGGAAGGGUAAACUCGCACCUGUUCUACCCAGAAGAGUGGCUCAAGUUCACAUUCAGAAUUUAUUUGUUGAAAGAGUAUCUCCACUUUAUCACAAUCGAGCACUUCCAAUUCUUUCAGAAGUGGCCAGCUUGAACUAAACCUUCUAGAGCAAAAUCUUUUGAGUUGGUGUAAACCGGAGAGUGUGAGAGAGGUAAGGUUAGGGAAUGAGAGUAAAGGUGCUGCUUCAUCUUCAUUUUCAUUGGCAACAAUUGCCUCCACUCCACUCUCCGAUAUAUAAAGGUCCUCAAGUUGCACAAGAGCACUCGCCACAGAAACCGGAAAAAGGUUUAGCAAUUUGUUGCAUCCCCUUACUUGCAAUUUCCUUAAUUUGGAAAAUGAAUUUGCUGGAAGUUGGUCAGGCCACAAUGCUCUUAUAUUAUCUAGUCCGCGUACAGACAAGGACUCCAAACCUGGGAGUGCAACCUGUGCAAUUGAUGAUCCCUUUAGUUAAUAAUAUAUACAUAUACAUUCCUAAUAAUUAGACACAUGUAAAUAGAAAAUAAGAGGUUAAAGGAGAAUAUAUCAGUAUAACAAAGCACAAAAUUUAAACUCUAUUCAAGAAGAUCCAGAAAGAGAAAAGAAAACGCCUUUUGAUUUUGAAGAUCCAAUGAAACUUUAAAAAAAAAAAAAAAAACCUCCAAAUUUUGCUUUCCAAAUGAGGUAAUAGGAGGAUAUUUUUAUUUUAUUUUUUCUUUGCCUCUCUUUCAAAUUUGAUUAACUUCCAUGGAAAACGUAUUUUAACUAGCCAUGGAAAAUGGAUUUUUUUUUUAAAACUUUUAUAUAAGAUACAAGAACUCUUAGAGGGUUACAUUAUGUAAGUAAUACUUUAAAAAAAAUGUUUAAAAAUAUUGUGAUAUCCAAAAAUUUUACUACCUCGGAUUUUAAAUUUUAAAAAAAUUAUUUUUAAAGAAAUAAGGUAAAUCUAUACUUUUUCGUAUAAGAUAUUCUACCUUUAUAUACAAAUUUCUGAUUUUUUUUUUAAAGUGUAUCCAAAUGGACACUAAACUAUCUAGUUUCGAAUUUUUACAACUUUGAAUUGGAUUUUAUGGUAAACUAAUUGACAAUAUAACGCAUGGAUUCAUCUUAGAUUCCAUCUAUAAAUUUUUUAAUUAUCUAAUAUAAGACAUUAUAUUAAUGGGUUGAAUUAAUAAUGUAAUUAUAAUUUAUUUGGCAACUUUCUUCCUUCAAAUAUAUAAGACGAAAAUAUAUUUUAAAAAAUAAAAAAGAAUGAUAAAAAAUAGAAAAUAAAAAUAGCUUAUUUUAUUGUUUUUCUAAGAUGAUUUUGUAGAGUGUUAGUUUAUAGUUUAACUUUAUUUCAUUUUACUUUUAACAUUAUUUAUUGAGGUAUGUUCUUUUUUGAAACUCUUGUUUAGAUUUUAUAGAGAAUAUAAAUUUUAAGAAAAAAAAUGAAAUUUAAAUAAAAUAAGAAUAAAGAAAGGCAAAAGGUGGAUGAAUUUUUUGAAGGCAAAAGUUUGAUAAUUUGGCACUGUCAUGUAAUGGGUGAAAUUUUUAAAUACUCAACAAAGGCUAGUGAAAUUUAAAUUAAAACCUUGACAUGUACCUUUUCGACCAAAAUCUUUGGAGUUGGUGUAAAGUUUUGAGUAUGAGAGAGGUUAGUCUAGGGAAUAUUAUUGCACAUUAGUUCAAAUAAAACAUCAACAUUUUUUUUUGUUAAAUUCUAAAUGAACACCACUAUAAAUUAAUGCGAUUUUGUAUGCUCAAUUAAAUAAACUCGUUCUUAAGGCAUCACAUGAAGUGUUUAAGUCUAAUUAAUAUUAAUUAAAAAUGAUUAUAUCAAAAAAAAUCCAAAGUAAUUUUUUUUUAUCAUAAGUCAAGUAGGAUAGUUUUAUAAAUAAUUGGUUCUAGUUUCUAGUAUUAUUGUACACAAUCGCUAUGUUUGUUGCACCUCCAAAAAAUCUACUACUUGUAAUUAAUUGUAUAUUAUUCUCCAUAUUCACAUCAGUUUAUGUAGUAUGAUUAAUUUAGCAACAAAAUAUAAGUUUACUUGAAAUCGCUUUAAAUUCCUAUGAUAUUAAAGUUUAAGAUUAAAACAAUGUAACAUUAGCCAAAAAGACUAAGAUCUAUAAUGUAACAAAUAAAAUUUAGAAAAUUCAAGGCAGGGUAAACUCGCACCUGUUCUACCCAGAAGAGUGGCUCAAGUUCACAUUCAGAAUUUAUUUGUUGAAAGAGUAUCUCCACUUUAUCACAAUCGAGCACUUCCAAUUCUUUCAGAAGUAGCCAGCUUGAACUAAACCUUCUAGAGCAAAAUCUUUUGAGUUGGUGUAAACCGGAGAGUGUGAGAGAGGUAAGGUUAGGGAAUAAGAGUAAAGGUGCUGCUUCAUCUUCAUUUUCAUUGGCAACAAUUGCCUCCACUCCACUCUCCGAUAUAUAUAGGUCCUCAAGUUGCACAAGAGCACUCGCCACAGAAACCCGAAAAAGGUUUAGCAAUUUGUUGAAUCCCCUUACAUGCAAUUUCCUUAAUUUGGAAAAUGAAUUUGUUGGAAGUUGGUCAGGCCACAAUGCUCUUAUAUUAUCCAGUCCGCAUACAUACAAGGACUCCAAGCCUUGGAGUGCAACCUGUGCAAUUGAUAAUCCCUUUGGUUAAUAAUAUAUACAUAUACAUUCCUAAUGAUUAGACACAUGUAAAUAGAAAAUAAGAGGUUAAAGGAGAAUAUAUCAGUAUAACAAAGCACAAAAUUUAAACUAGAUUAAAGAAGAUCAAGAAAGAGAAAAGAAAAGAAAAAGCCUCCAGAUUUUGAAGAUACAAUGAAACUUAAAAAAAAAAAAAAAAAACCUCCAAAUUUUCCUUUCGAAAUGAGGUAAUAAGAGGAUUUUUUUUUUCUUUUUUCUUUGCCUCUCUUUCAAAUUUGAUUAACUUCUAUGGAAAACGUAUUUUAACUAGUUAUGGAAAACGGAUUUUUUUUUUUAAAAACUUUUAUAUAAGAUACAAGUAAUACUUUAAAAAAAUUGUGAUAUCUAAAAAAUUUUUUGAAAAAUUAUUUUUAAAGAAAUAAGGUAAAUCUAUACUUUUUGUAUAAGAUGUUCUACCUUUGUAUUCAAAUUUCUGAUUUUUUUUUUUUAAAGUGUAUCCAAAUGCACACUAAACUAUCUAGUUUUUAAUUGUUACAACUUUGAAUUGGAUUUUAUGGUAAACUAAUUUACAAGUUAAUGCAUAGAUUCAUCUUAGAUUCCAUCUAUAAAUUUUUUUAAUUAUCUAAUAUAAGACAGUAUAUUAAUGGGUUGAAUUAAUAAUGUAAUUAUAAUUUAUUUGGCAACUUUCUUCCUUCAAAUAUAUAAAAUGAAAAUAAAUUUUAAAAAAUAAAAAAUAAAAAAAAGAUUUUUUUUAUAGUUUUUCUAAGAUGAUUUUGUAGAGUUCUGUUAGUUUAUAGUUUUCACUUUAUUUAUUGAGGUAUGUUCUUUUUUGAAACUCUUGUUUAGAUUUUAUUGAGAAUAUAAAUUUUAAGAAAAAAAAUAAAAUUUAAAUAAAAUAAGAAUAAAGAAAGGCAAAAGCUGGAUGAAUUUUUUUAAGGCAAAAGUUUGAUAAUUUGGCACUCUCAUGUAAUGGGUGAAAUUUUUAAAUACUCAACAAAGGCUAGUGAAAUUUAAAUUAAAACCAUGACAUGUACCUUUUAGACCAAAAUCUUUGGAGUUGGUGUAAUGUUUUGAGUAUGAGAGAGGUUAGUCUAGGGAAUAUUAUUGCACAUUAGUUCAAAUAAAACAUCAACAUUUUUUUUUGUUAAAUUCUAAAUGAACACCACUAUAAAUUAAUGCGAUUUUGUAUGCUCAAUUAAAUAAACUCGUUCUUAAGGCAUCACAUGAAGUGUUUAAGUCUAAUUAAUAUUAAUUAAAAAUGAUUAUAGUAAAAAAAAUCCAAAGUAAUUUUUUUUUAUCAUAAGUCAAGUAGGAUAGUUUUAUAAAUAAUUGGUUCUAGUUUCUAGUAUUAUUGUAGACAAUCGCUAUGUUUGUUGCACCUCCAAAAAAUCUACUACUUGUAAUUAAUUGUAUAUUAUUCUCCAUAUUCACAUCAGUUUAUGUAGUAUGAUUAAUUUAGCAACAAAAUAUAAGUUUACUUGAAAUGGCUUUAAAUUCCUAUGAUAUUAAAGUUUAAGAUUAAAACAAUGUAACAUUAGCAAAAAAGAUUAAGAUCUAUAAUGUAACAAAUAAAAUUUAGAAAAUUCAAGGCAGGGUAAACUCGCACCUGUUCUACCCAGAAGAGUGGCUCAAGUUCACAUUCAGAAUUUAUUUGUUGAAAGAGUAUCUCCACUUUAUCACAAUCGAGCACUUCCAAUUCUUUCAGAAGUAGCCAGCUUGAACUAAACCUUCUAGAGCAAAAUCUUUUGAGUUGGUGUAAACCGGAGAGUGUGAGAGAGGUAAGGUUAGGGAAUAAGAGUAAAGGUGCUGCUUCAUCUUCAUUUUCAUUGGCAACAAUUGCCUCCACUCCACUCUCUGAUAUAUAUAGGUCCUCAAGUUGCACAAGAGCACUCGCCACAGAAACCCGAAAAAGGUUUAGCAAUUUGUUGAAUCCCCUUACAUGCAAUUUCCUUAAUUUGGAAAAUGAAUUUGUUGGAAGUUGGUCAGGCCACAAUGCUCUUAUAUUAUCCAGUCCGCAUACAUACAAGGACUCCAAGCCUGGGAGUGCAACCUGUGCAAUUGAUAAUCCCUUUGGUUAAUAAUAUAUACAUAUACAUUCCUAAUAAUUAGACACAUGUAAAUAGAAAAUAAGAGGUUAAAGGAGAAUAUAUCAGUAUAACAAAGCACAAAAUUUAAACUAGAUUAAAGAAGAUCAAGAAAGAGAAAAGAAAAGAAAAAGCCUCCAGAUUUUGAAGAUACAAUGAAACUUAAAAAAAAAAAAAAAAAACCUCCAAAUUUUCCUUUCGAAAUGAGGUAAUAAGAGGAUUUUUUUUUUAUUUUUUCUUUGCCUCUCUUUCAAAUUUGAUUAACUUCUAUGGAAAACGCAUUUUAACUAGUUAUGGAAAACGGAUUUUUUUUUUUUAAAACUUUUAUAUAAGAUACAAGUAAUACUUUAAAAAAAUUGUGAUAUCUAAAAAAUUUUUUGAAAAAUUAUUUUUAAAGAAAUAAGGUAAAUCUAUACUUUUUGUAUAAGAUGUUCUACCUUUGUAUUCAAAUUUCUGAUUUUUUUUUUUAAAGUGUAUCCAAAUGCACAAUAAACUACCUAGUUUUUAAUUGUUACAACUUUGAAUUGGAUUUUAUGGUAAACUAAUUUACAAGUUAAUGCAUGGAUUCAUCUUAGAUUCCAUCUAUAAAUUUUUUUAAUUAUCUAAUAUAAGACAUUAUAUUAAUGGGUUGAAUUAAUAAUGUAAUUAUAAUUUAUUUGGCAACUUUCUUCCUUCAAAUAUAUAAAAUGAAAAUAAAUUUUAAAAAAUAAAAAAAAUGAAAAAAUAAAAAAUAAAAAAAAGAUUUUUUUUAUAGUUUUUCUAAGAUGAUUUUGUAGAGUACUGUUAGUUUAUAGUUUUCACUUUAUUUAUUGAGGUAUGUUCUUUUUUGAAACUCUUGUUUAGAUUUUAUUGAGAAUAUAAAUUUUAAGAAAAAAAAUGAAAUUUAAAUAAAAUAAGAAUAAAGAAAGGCAAAAGGUGGAUGAAUUUUUUUACGGCAAAAGUUUGAUAAUUUGGCACUAUCAUGUAAUGGGUGAAAUUUUUAAAUACUCAACAAAGGCUAGUGAAAUUUAAAUUAAAACCUUGACAUGUACCUUUUAGACCAAAAUCUUUGGAGUUGGUGUAAAGUUUUGAGUAUGAGAGAGGUUAGUCUAGGGAAUAUUAUUGCACAUUAGUUCAAAUAAAACAUCAACAUUUUUUUUUGUUAAAUUCUAAAUGAACACCACUAUAAAUUAAUGCGAUUUUGUAUGCUCAAUUAAAUAAACUCGUUCUUAAGGCAUCACAUGAAGUAUUUAAGUCUAAUUAAUAUUAAUUAAAAAUGAUUAUAGUAAAAAAAAUCCAAAGUAAUUUUUUUUUAUCAUAAGUCAAGUAGGAUAGUUUUAUAAAUAAUUGGUUCUAGUUUCUAGUAUUAUUGUAGACAAUCGCUAUGUUUGUUGCACCUCCAAAAAAUCUACUACUUGUAAUUAAUUGUAUAUUAUUCUCCAUAUUCACAUCAGUUUAUGUAGUAUGAUUAAUUUAGCAACAAAAUAUAAGUUUACUUGAAAUGGCUUUAAAUUCCUAUGAUAUUAAAGUUUAAGAUUAAAACAAUGUAACAUUAGCCAAAAAGAUUAAGAUCUAUAAUGUAACAUAUAAAAUUUAGAAAAUUCAAGGAAGGGUAAACUCGCACCUGUUCUACCCAGAAGAGUGGCUCAAGUUCACAUUCAGAAUUUAUUUGUUGAAAGAGUAUCUCCACUUUAUCACAAUAGAGCACUUCCAAUUCUUUCAGAAGUGGCCAGCUUGAACUAAACCUUCUAGAGCAAAAUCUUUUGAGUUGGUGUAAACCGGAGAGUGUGAGAGAGGUAAGGUUAGGGAAUAAGAGUAAAGGUGCUGCCUCAUCUUCAUUUUCAUUGGCAACAAUUGCCUCCACUCCACUCUGAAAUAUAUUUAGGUUCUCAAGUUGCACAAGAGCACUCGCCACAGAAACCGGAAAAAGGUUUAGCAAUUUGUUGCAUCCCCUUACUUGCAAUUCCCUUAAUUUGGAAAAUGAAUUUGCUGGAAGUUGGUCAGGCCACAAUGCUCUUAUAUUAUCUAGUCCGCAUACAGAAAAGGACUCCAAGCCUGGGAGUGCAACCUGU